RNAcentral lists this ribosomal RNA (253 nucleotides) under uncultured bacterium. RNAcentral describes it as "partial 16S ribosomal RNA". It matches the Rfam family "Bacterial small subunit ribosomal RNA", at positions 524 to 776 of the family's 1533-position model. The record is from RNAcentral.
UACGAGGGGGGCAAGCGUUGUUCGGAAUUAUUGGGCGUAAAGGGCGCGUAGGCGGUGCGGUAAGUCACCUGUGAAAUCCCCGGGCUCAACCUGGGAACUGCAUCUGUGACUGCAUCGCUGGAGUGCGGCAGAGGGGGAUGGAAUUCCGCGUGUAGCAGUGAAAUGCGUAGAUAUGCGGAGGAACACCGAUGGCGAAGGCAAUCCCCUGGGCCUGCACUGACGCUCAUGCACGAAAGCGUGGGGAGCAAACAGG